UAGUAGUAGUAGUAAGGCAUGAAUAUAUAGCAACACAUGUAUUGCUCUUUAAGUCAGACACAAACUUGACCAUCUAUUAGGCAAAUCUAUCUGAUGUCCUCAAUGACAUAACUGCUUCAGAGCAAUAAAACAUCAUGCAGCAGUAAGUAUCCCACUCAGCAGUUAAAGUAAUUGCCAUACUGACUACACGAUUCACUGGAGAGUAGGGGAAAUUCUCUCUCACCCACAGACUGAGUGAUUUUGAAACAGCUAGCUUGACCAUUAGACUUGCAGCCAAGACCCUGCGAAGUUCACUCGUUUGCUCAUUAAACAAACUUAGUAUUUAUGUGCGUAUUAGCAUCAGACUCCUGUACUAAUUAUAUCAGUUUCCUGAAAAAGUGGCCUGUGUUAAGGGUUUCUGCAGCUUUCAGUUUUUAAUUUGGAGGUGUGCCAAUGAAUGUGACAGAAGGAAAUGGAAGUCAUGUUACAAAGUUCUUCUCAUGGCUUGAUUUCUUGGUGUUUGGUAUCAUGCUCUGUCUGUCAGCUCUCAUUGGGGUGUACUUUGCUUUCUUUGCCAAGAAGAAACAGAACACAACAGCUGAGUACCUCAUGGGAGGCAAAACAAUGGGCAUAUUCCCAAUUUCUAUGUCACUAAUUGCAAGUUACAUUUCAGGCAUAUCUCUAUUGGGUUUACCAGCUGAGAUGUAUAUGUACGGAACACAGUACUGGAUGGUCAUGUGCCCAGAGGCAUUUGUCAGCAUCACUAUGGCAUUGGUCUACCUACCAGUGUUCUACAAGCUGCAGAUCACAUCGUCCUAUGAGUAUCUGAACCUCCGAUUCAGUCCAGCAGUGCGGUUGAUGGGAUCCAUUAUAUUCCUUGUCAAAAUGCUACUGUUCAUUCCCAUUGUCAUCUAUGUGCCAGCUUUGGCCUUCAGUCAAGUGACUGGCAUUAACCUUCAUUUAAUUACCCCGAUUGUGUGUGUUGUGUGCAUAUUCUACACCAUGCUGGGAGGCCUGAAGGCUGUUGUCUGGACAGACACUCUACAGACAUUCAUCAUGUUUGGUGGUGUAAUCAUUGUCAUGAUACUGGGAACAAUAAAUGUUGGUGGUCCUGGUGUUGUGUGGGAGCGCAGCCAGCAGAGUGAUCGCCUUGAAUUUUUCAACUUCAACAUGGACCCCACCAUAAGGCACACAUUUUGGAAUAUUUCUUUUGGCAAUUACUUCUACUGGCUGGCGUCAUGUUCUGUUAAUCAAGCCAUGGUCCAACGCUGCCUUGCUAUGCCAACCAUCUACAAAGCCAACAUAACAAUCCUGAUCCUGGCACUUGGAAUCCUGGGGAUUGUCACCAUGAGCUGUUACACAGGACUCGUGAUCUAUGCAACAUUCCAUGACUGUGACCCGGUCAGCACACAUACGAUUCAGAAGGCUGACCAACUUCUGCCAUACUUUGUGAUGCAAAUAUCAGAUUCUGUACCUGGCCUGCCAGGCAUAUUUCUGUCUGGAGUGUUUAGUGCAGCACUGAGCUCAAUGUCCACAGGCCUGAAUUCAAUGACUGGGGUGAUAUUUGAGGAUUUGAUCCGACCAGUGGUCAAGGAGCGCAUCUCUGAGUCACGUGCCAGCCUCAUCAUGAAGGUGAUAGUGGCUGUGAUUGGUACAGUGUGUGUAGGGAUGGUGUUUGUAGUGGAGAACAUGGGCACACUUGUACAGGCUGCAAAGAGUAUGACAGGCAUCACAGCUGGUUCCCUAUUAGGCGUUUUCUCAAUGGGAAUGUUUUUCCCAUGGGCUAAUGCAAAAGGAGCACUGGUGGGUGGUGUUAUCAGCAUGGUAUUUGUUGGUUGGAUAUCAAUAGGAAGCCAGAUCUCCAUUGCCAAGGGACAGAUCAAGUUCCCCACAAAACCAGUGUCAGUUGAGGGCUGUGACAUUGAGUUCCUGAACAAUACAGUCAAGUCCACAGCAAUACCAGGAACAGUGAAUGAGCCACUGUACAUCUACAGGAUAUCCUACACAUUGUACACUAUGAUUGGUGUGGCAACUGCCAUCAUUGUGGGUCUGGUGGUUAGCUUUCUUACGAAGCCCAAUAACUCUGAGGAUGUUGACCCUGACCUGCUCACACCAGUCAUACAUAGAUUCCUGCCAUCCAAGGUCAAACACAUUGAACUUCAGGCCCAUAAACAGGAUAGUACAUCCCUCUGAAGCAUGGGUAAAGUUCUACCAGACUACACGCCAUCACCCAGAAGACAGUACUGUUCGUAAUCUCUGCUGUGAGAACCUCAAAUUCAGUGUAAGAGGACAUAGCAGAACUUCAGAAAUCGCCAUUUGAACAUCAGCUUAAAGACUAACUGGAACAGACAAGAAGUUGUGAUGGGAUAUAAGAAUUAAAGCACUAAACUCUCUGGUUUGUUGCUGUGGUUGUUUUAUUUUGUUGCCCACCUUUCAUAGUCGUCAAACAUUAUUACAUCUCAGACCAUAUCAGUUUUGCAUACAGAUUUAUUUAAAAAAGCAGUCAUAAUAUCAUGUUCUUUGUACAAUUAUGUAAUUAGAAAUUAACACUUAUUUACAAUGAGAGUACUUGAACUCAGGAGGGGAAAUUUAUAUCAAUGUAGAAAA
This is an RNA transcript of Cryptotermes secundus, 2586 nucleotides long. It is a transcript of the gene named sodium-coupled monocarboxylate transporter 1, with no coding region annotated. NCBI's taxonomy places the organism in Eukaryota, Metazoa, Arthropoda, Insecta, Blattodea, Kalotermitidae. The transcript is spliced from 16 exons. The record is from RefSeq and is a predicted model, not a curated record.